GUUUCUGUAGUUGAAUACAACGUUGGUUUUUCAAGUCAUUGGUCCUGGUUAAAACCCGGGUAGAAACU
Molecule: transfer RNA, 68 nt
Filed under: Spratelloides delicatulus (delicate round herring)
Lineage: Eukaryota; Metazoa; Chordata; Actinopteri; Clupeiformes; Clupeidae
Description: tRNA-Glu
Rfam family: tRNA
About the family: Transfer RNA (tRNA) molecules are approximately 80 nucleotides in length. Their secondary structure includes four short double-helical elements and three loops (D, anti-codon, and T loops).
Source: RNAcentral